AGUGAACGCUGGCGGUAGGCCUAACACAUGCAAGUCGAACGGCAGCACAGUAAGAGCUUGCUCUUACGGGUGGCGAGUGGCGGACGGGUGAGGAAUACAUCGGAAUCUACUUUUUCGUGGGGGAUAACGUAGGGAAACUUACGCUAAUACCGCAUACGACCUACGGGUGAAAGCAGGGGAUCUUCGGACCUUGCGCGAUUGAAUGAGCCGAUGUCGGAUUAGUUAGUUGGCGGGGUAAAGGCCCACCAAGGCGACGAUCCGUAGCUGGUCUGAGAGGAUGAUCAGCCACACUGGAACUGAGACACGGUCCAGACUCCUACGGGAGGCAGCAGUGGGGAAUAUUGGACAAUGGGCGCAAGCCUGAUCCAGCCAUACCGCGUGGGUGAAGAAGGCCUUCGGGUUGUAAAGCCCUUUUGUUGGGGAAGAAAAGCAGCAGGUUAAUACCCCGCUGUUCUGACGGUACCCAAAGAAUAAGCACCGGCUAACUUCGUG
Molecule: ribosomal RNA, 492 nt
Filed under: uncultured bacterium
Lineage: Bacteria
Description: partial 16S ribosomal RNA
Rfam family: Bacterial small subunit ribosomal RNA
Source: RNAcentral